GAUGAACGCUAGCGGCAGGCCUAACACAUGCAAGUCAGGGGUAACAUAGAAAAAGCUUGCUUUUCUGAUGACGACCGGCGCACGGGUGCGUAACGCGUAUACAACCUACCUUUUAGCGGGGAAUAGCCCAGGGAAACUUGGAUUAAUGCCCCAUAGUAUAUAGACUUCUCCUGAAGUUUAUAUUAAACAUUUAUGGCUAUUAGAUGGGUAUGCGUCCUAUUAGUUAGUUGGUAAGGUAACGGCUUACCAAGGCAGCGAUAGGUAGGGGUCCUGAGAGGGAGAUCCCCACACUGGUACUGAGACACGGACCAGACUCCUACGGGAGGCAGCAGUGAGGAAUAUUGGACAAGUGGGCGAGAGCCUGAUCCAGCCAUGCCGCGUGCAGGAAGACUCGCCCUAGUGGGUUAGUAAACUGUCUUUUACAGAGGAAGAACCACCCUCACGUGUGGGGGUUUGACGGUACUCUGCGAAUAAGGAUCGGCUAACUCCGUG
This 492-nucleotide ribosomal RNA is filed under the name uncultured bacterium. RNAcentral's name for it is "bacterial SSU rRNA". It matches the Rfam family "Bacterial small subunit ribosomal RNA", at positions 28 to 507 of the family's 1533-position model. The record is from RNAcentral.